ACACACACACACACACACACACACACACACAAUACACAGUUACCUAUUCAUGGAUACACAAAUCCGCAAGAGUUAUGCAUAUGUCAUAGGUUGCUAAAUAUGUUCUAGUUUAUAUACUAGGAUGAUACAGAUAAACAUUGUUGCAUAAGGGAAAUAGAUGCAAAAGAUGUAAUGAUGGAUGUUAAUAAUUACAGUUGACCAACAAUAAAAUUUUGGACUGAUAUCAGUUAUUGUCAAAAACAUGCAUCAGGGUUGUGGUUGUCUGCCAGAAGCUGUCAUAAAUUGACUUCUUAUCCAGUUCUAAGCCAAUACAUUUCAUUGUCAUUUCUGUCAUCGUUGCCGUGGGGGCAAACAAUCAACUCAAUAGCCAUUCCUGGCCGUGCCAAUGUGACACGUCCACAGUUGACUUAAACCUAUUGAACUUUAACAAGGAGAUGAUUAUAAGUUAAUAAACAAAUAUUAUUUAAGCAAAAGCAUAUAAACAUUACUGUUUAAUAUGUUUAUGUAUGCACUAAGUGUUACUUUCUUGGGGGGAAAAAAAAUCCUUUUUUUGAUUCUGAAUUUAUGUACAGAGCGGUCACAGAUGAUAACGUACAACAUAUUCUAUGUGUGAAUUUUUAUUUGGAUCUGGAUAAUUGUAUUACUUUUAAUAUAAAGUAUCCAUUUA
Sander lucioperca (pikeperch) is the source of this 667-nucleotide long non-coding RNA. RefSeq lists it as uncharacterized. The transcript has 3 exons. NCBI's taxonomy places the organism in Eukaryota, Metazoa, Chordata, Actinopteri, Perciformes, Percidae. The record is from RefSeq and is a predicted model, not a curated record.